AAAUCAGGUCUAGAAAUCAAACAAAGGGAGCAAUACCAACACUGUCUUAAUUUCCAACAGGACCAACACAAAAAACAGGAGCUUCAGGCUAUACACUAUUUAAAAACUGGCAGCACCACAGCAGCAAAUUGGCAGGAUACAUGGCAUACUACAUGUUUUGAGAGGAAAAAAGAAGAAACGUAUAUUCACAAGACACCUAGCUGGCGCUGUAUACUACAAAAAAUCAUCAGAAAGUAUCGGAUAAAACACACAUCUAUACGAAAUUUAGUGGCCUUCUUCUCAACGGAAGUAAGGUAAUUUUUGUUUCGGUUAAUACAAAUCAAGGCAGUCAAGGAACUUGACCAGACAGUGAGGUAAUCAAUCAUCAGUUCACAUUGCACUAACUUCAAAUCAACAAGAAAAUAAACCUUGACGCUCUAUAAGUCAUCUCAGAGCUACAUGUUUAUCGCUUCUCUUCAUUUGCUAAAUUUUAGGAGCAUUCAAUUGAAAUUUCCCAACUCUCCAUUAUUUUCCUACAUUUUCCACAAACCAAACAGGUUUAUAUCACUCCAAACUGAUCACCACAGCUUAAAUUUCCCUUGUAUACUUAAUUUAGUUUUUUUUUUAAAAAAAGAGGGGAAAAGUAAGGAAAAGAACUCACCAAAGAACUGAUUGUGAGUAGCUGUAUUUGUUCUAUGUGAUGUUGAAGGCUCCAUGUCCCUUGAACUUGAGCUCCGAAUCGCCAUUCUCUGUAGUGCUCCUAUCCUGCCUUUGCGCUAGGGUUUAUAUACAAAGAGAACUGGGUGGUAAUACACAGUUUUAAACAUAUACAAAGAGCGUGCUGGGCCUUUGUUGGCUUUGGCGGGUUGGUCAACAGAGCGGUCAGCGUCGAUGAGAUCUUUUGUGGGAAUGAGAGAAA
This 898-nucleotide long non-coding RNA is filed under the name Carica papaya (papaya). RNAcentral describes it as "long non-coding RNA (CPAP_LNC012209)". The record is from RNAcentral. Lineage: Eukaryota; Viridiplantae; Streptophyta; Magnoliopsida; Brassicales; Caricaceae.